UGAUUCAAGAGUCUUUUUCGCUGUACAACUUAACUGGCUUCAAAUCAAGAUUUCAAAGUCAUGCACGAGUCUUUUUCGCUUUACAACUUAACUGAAAUGGUUGGCAGAUUCAUUUCUAUGUUUUUGAAAGACCAGGACUUUGGACACGUCGACCGAGUGUUCAUAAUACGCUGUUGGAAGGACCUUGCUACUAAAUGGAUUGUUGUUGAUUACCAAAGUAAUGUUCAC
This is a long non-coding RNA of Vigna unguiculata (cowpea), 228 nucleotides long. RefSeq lists it as uncharacterized. The record is from RefSeq and is a predicted model, not a curated record. Lineage: Eukaryota; Viridiplantae; Streptophyta; Magnoliopsida; Fabales; Fabaceae.